This 453-nucleotide ribosomal RNA is filed under the name eukaryotic picoplankton environmental sample. RNAcentral describes it as "SSU rRNA". It matches the Rfam family "Eukaryotic small subunit ribosomal RNA", at positions 1 to 464 of the family's 1831-position model. The record is from RNAcentral.
UCUGGUUGAUCCUGCCAGUAGUCAUACGCUCGUCUAAAAGAUUAAGCCAUGCAUGUCUAAGUAAAAACAACUUUACUGUGAAACUGCGAAUGGCUCAUUAUAUCAGUUAUAGUUUACUUGAUAGUACCUUACUACUUGGAUAACCGUAGUAAUUCUAGAGCUAAUACAUGCAUCAACUCCCAACUUCUGGACGGGACGCGUUUAUUAGAUAGAAACCAAUGCUCUUCGGAGGUUUUGUGGUGAUUCAUAAUAACUGUGCGAAUCGCAUGCGUCAGCGGCGAUGAAUCAAUCAAGUUUCUGCCCUAUCAGCUUUCGAUGGUAGGGUAUUGGCCUACCAUGGCGUUAACGGGUGACGGAGAAUUAGGGUUCGAUUCCGGAGAGGGAGCCUGAGAAACGGCUACCACAUCCAAGGAAGGCAGCAGGCGCGUAAAUUACCCAAUCCUGACACAKKGA